GUGGCUGGUGAUGGCGUGCCUUUUGAAGAAUGAGCCUGCGAGUUAGUGGCAUGUCGCGAGGUUAACCCGUGUGGGGUAGCCGUAGCGAAAGCGAGUCCGAAUAGGGCGUAUCACCGUUUGGUGUGUAGUGGCGUGUUCUAGACCCGAAGCGGAGUGAUCUACCCAUGGCCAGGUUGAAGCGACGGUAAGACGUCGUGGAGGACCGAACCCACUUAGGUUGAAAACUGAGGGGAUGAGUUGUGGGUAGGGGUGAAAGGCCAAUCAAACUCCGUGAUAGCUGGUUCUCCCCGAAAUGCAUUUAGGUGCAGCGUCACGUGUUUCUCAUCGGAGGUAGAGCUACUGGAUGGUCUAGGGGGCUUACCGGCUUACCGAAAUCAGCCAAACUCCGAAUGCCGGUGAGUGAGAGCGUGGCAGUGAGACUGCGGGCGAUAAGGUUCGUAGUCGAGAGGGAAACAGCCCAGAUCGCCAGCUAAGGUCCCUAAGCGUGUACUAAGUGGAAAAGGAUGUGGGGUCGCGAAGACAACCAGGAGGUUGGCUUAGAAGCAGCCACCCUUGAAAGAGUGCGUAAUAGCUCACUGGUCAAGUGAUCCUGCGCCGACAAUGUAGCGGGGCUCAAGUACACCACCGAAGCUGCGGCACUCACACAACAGCCCGCAUCGUUCCUACGGGGAUGGUGCCAGGUGUGUGGGUGGGUAGGGGAGCGUCGUGCAGCCGUGGAAGCAUCGGGGUGACCUAGGUGUGGAGGCUGUGCGAGUGAGAAUGCAGGCAUGAGUAGCGAAAGACGAGUGAGAAACUCGUCCGCCGAAUGACCAAGGGUUCCUGGGCCAGGUUAAUCCGCCCAGGGUGAGUCGGGACCUAAGACGAGGCCGACAGGCGUAGCCGAUGGACAACGGGUUGAUAUUCCCGUACCCGUGUGAACGCGCCCCUGGUGAAUCAGUGAUACUAACCGCCCUGAAUCCCGGUGAUGGAUCUCUUUCGAGAGUGAUGCGCUGGGUGGAUGCGUGGGACCUGAUCUGGUAGUAGCCAAGCGAUGGGGUGACGCAGGAAGGUAGCUGAGCCAGUCAGUGGUAAUACUGGUGUAAGCCUGUAGGGCGAGACAUAGGCAAAUCCGUGUCUCAUACAGCCUGAGAGGUGAUGCGUAGCCGAUUGAGGCGAAUUCAGUGAUCCUAUGCUGCCGAGAAAAGCCUCUAGCGAGCUUUCACACGGCCCGUACCCCAAACCGACACAGGUGGUCAGGUAGAGAAUACUGAGGCGAUCGAGAUAACUAUGGUUAAGGAACUCGGCAAAAUGCCCCCGUAACUUCGGGAGAAGGGGGACCUCGUCCGGUGAUCAUCCUUGCGGUGUGAGCUGGGUGGGGUCGCAGAGACCAGUGAGAAGCGACUGUUUACUAAAAACACAGGUCCGUGCGAAGUCGUAAGACGAUGUAUACGGACUGACGCCUGCCCGGUGCUGGAAGGUUAAGAGGACCGGUCAACUGCACUUGUGUGGUGAAGCUGAGAAUUUAAGCCCCAGUAAACGGCGGUGGUAACUAUAACCAUCCUAAGGUAGCGAAAUUCCUUGUCGGGUAAGUUCCGACCUGCACGAAUGGCGUAACGACUUCUCAGCUGUCUCAACCAUAGACUCGGCGAAAUUGCAUUACGAGUAAAGAUGCUCGUUACGCGCGGCAGGACGAAAAGACCCCGGGACCUUCACUAUAGCUUGGUAUUGGUGUUCGGUUCGGUUUGUGUAGGAUAGGUGGGAGACUGUGAAGCGGUGACGCCAGUUACUGUGGAGUCGUUGUUGAAAUACCACUCUGAUCGUAUUGGAUACCUCAACCUCGGACCAUGAUCUGGUUCAGGGACAGUGCCUGGUGGGUAGUUUAACUGGGGCGGUUGCCUCCCAAAAUGUAACGGAGGCGCCCAAAGGUUCCCUCAGCCUGGUUGGCAAUCAGGUGUCGAGUGCAAGUGCACAAGGGAGCUUGACUGUGAGACUGACAGGUCGAGCAGGGACGAAAGUCGGGACUAGUGAUCCGGCACCGGCAUGUGGAAGCGGUGUCGCUCAACGGAUAAAAGGUACCCCGGGGAUAACAGGCUGAUCUUCCCCAAGAGUCCAUAUCGACGGGAUGGUUUGGCACCUCGAUGUCGGCUCGUCGCAUCCUGGGGCUGGAGUAGGUCCCAAGGGUUGGGCUGUUCGCCCAUUAAAGCGGCACGCGAGCUGGGUUUAGAACGUCGUGAGACAGUUCGGUCUCUAUCCGCCGCGCGCGUCAGAAACUUGAGGAAGGCUGUCCCUAGUACGAGAGGACCGGGACGGACGAACCUCUGGUGUGCCAGUUGUUCCACCAGGAGCACCGCUGGUUAGCUACGUUCGGAAGGGAUAACCGCUGAAAGCAUCUAAGCGGGAAGCCUGUUCCAAGAUGAGGUUUCUCACCCCCUUUGUGGGGGUAAGGCCCCCGGCAGACCACCGGGUUGAUAGGCCAGAACUGGAAGUGCAGUAAUGCAUGCAGGUGACUGGUACUAAUAGGCCGAGGACUUACCACA
This 2516-nucleotide ribosomal RNA is filed under the name Rhodococcoides fascians 02-815. Its description in RNAcentral is "bacterial LSU rRNA". It matches the Rfam family "Bacterial large subunit ribosomal RNA", at positions 586 to 2925 of the family's 2925-position model. Lineage: Bacteria; Bacillati; Actinomycetota; Actinomycetes; Mycobacteriales; Nocardiaceae. The record is from RNAcentral.